This 223-nucleotide ribosomal RNA is filed under the name uncultured bacterium. RNAcentral describes it as "partial 16S ribosomal RNA". It matches the Rfam family "Bacterial small subunit ribosomal RNA", at positions 116 to 334 of the family's 1533-position model. The record is from RNAcentral.
CGUAGGUAACCUGCCUCUUAGCGGGGGAUAACUAUUGGAAACGAUAGCUAAUACCGCAUAAAAGUCGAUAUCGCAUGAUGUUGAUUUGAAAGGUGCAAUUGCAUCACUAAGAGAUGGACCUGCGUUGUAUUAGCUAGUUGGUGAGGUAACGGCCCACCAAGGCGACGAUACAUAGCCGACCUGAGAGGGUGAUCGGCCACACUGGGACUGAGACACGGCCCAG